This 488-nucleotide ribosomal RNA is filed under the name uncultured Pseudomonadota bacterium. RNAcentral's name for it is "bacterial SSU rRNA". It matches the Rfam family "Bacterial small subunit ribosomal RNA", at positions 355 to 859 of the family's 1533-position model. Lineage: Bacteria; Pseudomonadati; Pseudomonadota. The record is from RNAcentral.
UGGGGAAUAUUGGACAAUGGGCGAAAGCCUGAUCCAGCAAUGCCGCGUGAGUGAUGAAGGCCUUAGGGUUGUAAAGCUCUUUUACCCGGGAUGAUAAUGACAGUACCGGGAGAAUAAGCUCCGGCUAACUCCGUGCCAGCAGCCGCGGUAAUACGGAGGGAGCUAGCGUUAUUCGGAAUUACUGGGCGUAAAGCGCACGUAGGCGGCUUUGUAAGUUAGAGGUGAAAGCCUGGAGCUCAACUCCAGAAUUGCCUUUAAGACUGCAUCGCUUGAAUCCAGGAGAGGUGAGUGGAAUUCCGAGUGUAGAGGUGAAAUUCGUAGAUAUUCGGAAGAACACCAGUGGCGAAGGCGGCUCACUGGACUGGUAUUGACGCUGAGGUGCGAAAGCGUGGGGAGGCAAACAGGAUUAGAUACCCUGGUAGUCCACGCCGUAAACGAUGAUAACUAGCUGUCGGGGCUCUUAGAGCUUCGGUGGCGCAGCUAACGCA